UACGUGAUGCUGAUAGCCUCACAGAAGAAAAGGUAGAUCAGGUGGUGAAUGAAUUUCUCAAAGAUUUCACAGAGAAAUCAACAGAAUCCAAAGGAUGGCCAAGUUACUUCACAGCCUACAAAGUCUCAAAAGCAUCGUUGAUUGCCUACACAAGAGUUUUAGCUACCAAAUAUCCGAAUUUUCGAAUAAACUCUGUAUGUCCUGGCUAUUGCAAAACAGACGUAAAUGCAAAUACUGGAAGCUUAACUGCUGGAGAAGGUGCUGAGAGCUUGGUGAAUCUUGCUUUGCUUCCAAACGAUGGACCUUCUGGCCUUUUCUUUUACAGAAAGGAGGUCACUUUUUUUUGAGCAUUGUUAGAUCCACAAAAUUGGUUUGCGUAUUUGGCAGAAUUGAAUCGUUUUCUAUCAGUUUUAUAGACAUUGCAAGAAUAAGAUGGAUAUAUAUUUCUUUUAAGUUACCCUAAUUUUAUCGUUUUAAUUAUGAAUUAUUCACUACUGUUAUUUUGGAGAUAAUGUCUAUGUUUGCCCUUUAAUUACGAGGAAAGCACAGAAACGACACUACUUCAAAUUAAACUAUUUCUAUGAAAAUGGUCAUGGAAUUUAAAUUUCAUUUUCUAGUCAUUUCAAUUUACUGGCUUGUUCUAUACCGUUUCUACACAUCUUUUAUACCGUUUCUAUAUAAAUUUUAUACAUAUAAAUAUUCUAUACAAAAAUUAUACAGUUUUGAUACACAAUUUAUAUAAUAACUGUAUAUUUUUUUUACACGUUUUAUACAACAAUUGUAUAAUUUUCAUACACUUUCUAUAUAUAUUUUUUUAUAUAUUUUAUACAUAUAUAUAUUUGAUAGAACCAUACAAUUUUUAUACAUAUAUCUUGUAUAGAUACAUAUUCUAUUUAACAAUUAUAUCAUUUUUAUAUAAUUUAAUUAUUAUUUCUAAACAAUUAAAAAAAAAGCAGAAUAUUUUAUCAGUUAAAAAAAUAUAGCAAAAAAAAUUAAAAUAUUUUUAAAAGGAUCGAAUUAUCCAAGUUGAAUAUUGUAUUAGUAUUGUAUAUAAACUAUAUCAGUAUUGUAGAUGGAUUACGUGGGCCAAAAUGACCCAAAUUGGGAAAGAAUAGAAAAUGGUCAUAAAGUAGCUUUUUUUACCCGACUAGAUAUUAUAUGUUCAUAUGCCCAAACUUGGACUAUUAUUUUUUAAAAAGGUUACACAAUAUUCUUUUCCUUUUAAUUAAAGGAUGUGCAUUUCUACUUAUUUACGAGUAUUUUGUUGAUUUUUUCAGAUAUGGCUUAUUAAAUCAUCUUAAUAUACUCCUACUAUUUCAUAUAUGCUACUAGGGAUUAUAGCUUAUUUAUACUGAACACCACCAAUAAUAUGAUUUUAGUUUCGAAUAAACUCUUUGUAUUUAAAAUUUAAAACUUACACCUUAUAUAUAAAACUUACAAUUACGUUGAAUUGUCGCCUAUUUGUAAUUAUAAUUACGAUCACGCGUAGAACUUAAAACGUAUACCACAUAAUAUAAUUAAAAUGUUACUUCCUAUACUCGUCUUAGAUUUAUCAUAAUUAAGUGGCCAUCAAAUUAACUACUAGACCAAUCUUUUUACUACAUUGACUAAAAAUUUUAUGUGCAACUUGAUUUGGAUAUUGAGUUAACCAUGAAAAAUGGCCUGAGGUUUCUGCUGUAGUCAACAAACCAGAACAAGUCCUCUUUUAUCUUGAAAUUUACUCCCUCCGUUCACCAUACUAAACAUAGAUGUCCACUUUUACUUGUCCAGUUUAGAAAAUCAAGUGAUACAUCAUCACUUAUUUUCUAAUUUACUCUUAUUUUAUUAGCUAGUUAUUUCUCAAAAACGUUGAAUUUAUUAUAUACAAAGAGUGAUGUGAUAAAAUCGUCAUUCUAUUUAUUUUUUCUUAAGGGGUGUAUCAACUUGAUACUGGACAAGUGAAAAGAAGACGAAGAGAGUAUUAAAUAGAUUCUAAAUCAAGAAAGAUGAUCAGUAGCCAUAAUGGUAAGUUCUUUGCAGCUUUACCACAUACAUGUACGUUGUCGGUGUAUUUUUCAUUUUAGUGUGAUUUAACUUUUCAUUUUUUAGACUUAUACAUGCUUUGCCCAGCAAAAUGGUAAGUUCUAAAAUUGAUUUUGAAUAAAAGUUUGAAACCACUCAGAUCUGCAUUUUCUUAACAGUUUUGUCCCAACGAGACGUAGUGGCGACGAGUUGAUGUGUUUAGAUGUGUAUUCUCAAAGUUGGAGUGUUUAAUUUUUAGUUAAGGUCAAGUUAAAGGUAUCUAUUUAUUUAUUAGGCCUUAACUUAAAAAAGAUUUACUUGUUUAGUCUUUUAGCAAUUAAAAUAAGAUUAACAGACCCUGAGGAAGUCCUAACAGUAGUAGAGAUUGAUACAAAUACAUGAUCUGGUUUUAGUGUUGUCAAUUUUCUGUUUCUCAUUAAACUAUGAAGGGUAUGUUCAAUAGAAGAGGUGAUAAAUCGGACUUCAAAGAAGAUUAUGUUCAAGGAAAGGGCUGGCCUUCUCUCAUGUCAGCUUACAUACUCUCUAAAGCAGCCAUGAACGCUUACUCGAGGAUCAUGGCAAAUAAGCAUCCAUCUAUACAGAUCAAUUGUGUCUGCCCUGGUUUUCUGAAAACGAAUAUCUAUUACAAUCGUGGGAUAUCUUUGUUGGACAAUAAAAUUUCGAGUCGGAAAAAUAAAUAAUUCGAGAUAAAAAAAUAUUGCAACAAUCAAUUUAUUGAUUUCAAUGUGUGAGUGUUACAAUCUCUGUAAAUCCUUUGAUAUAAAUUGAAGGGCUUAAACAUUGAUAUUGAGUUUAAACUUGAUUUGUUGAUUUGAGGACUUGAUCUUGACUUGUGUUUGUGGGAGGGCUUUUAACCUUAUUCUUGUAUAUUGCGGUCUAGAUUUUGAAUCUGUCUUUUCAAAUAUAAAUUCAAGGGUUUAAGUGCUUUUGAGCUUGUUCUUGAAUAUUGCGGUUUAGAUCUUGAAUCUUGAUGAACUUUGAAUGCUUGAGUUUUUUUUAGAGAAAUUGUGGCGUUUGAACCAUGAGCUUUCUCUUGCUACGUGUUAGAGUUCUUGAUUUUUUUUUUUUUGAAUUAUGAAACCCUUAUUUAUAGUUAUGAAAAAGGAAAAGGAAGAGUAAGAUGAACUUACUUUGACCAAUUAGACUUGAGUGACGUGACGUCUUUUAUAGGCUUUGAUUUCAUGGGCCUGUUGCAUCAUUUUGACAUGUGGCAUGAUCCUAUUGGAUCCUUCCCUUGACUUGGCAUGUCACGUCAUUUGACACGUGACGCUUAUUUGAGCCAUUAGAAUAUGAUAAUACCUUGGGUUUUAGCAAAAUGGGCUCUUCAUUUUCUAGCUCAAAUCAAUAGGCUUACCCCAUAAAAAUUGGAUUCUAAUUAAAUCCAUAUAUAUUUGGACUUAAAUAAUUAAUCCAAUUAUAGUAAUUCGUAAUAUUUAUUUAGAACUAAUAUAUUUUGAAUUUAAUAUAAUUUGAAUUUUGUACGAAUUUAAAUUUAAUAAAAUUACAUCGCCCACAAAUGUCCAACUUCAAGAUUUAUCAAAAUAUUUAAUUUUUCUUGGAAAUUAAUCUUAUAGUAUUAUAAAUAUUUAAUUUUUCUUGGAAAUCAAUCUUAUAGUAUUAAGUUUGAUUAUCACGAACCAAUAUAUAUAUCCAAAAAGAAAAAUAUUCAACCUGAAUUAAAUAUAUAUAUUUUUUAUUUGUGAAAUCAAUUCACGUGUAUAUGAAAUCAAAAUGGUUGACUUUGGCAUUUAACUGCUUAUGUCACCCUUUUGUUUUUCUUAUUAAUGUGGAACCUAUAUAAUCUUCUUUUUUCAAUGAAUAUGACCCUAUUUCCCUUUCUUUUGGUUUAAUAAAGUCGGCUGCUGCUAGCCAUUUUCCUUCUCCCAAUGAAAUUCUAACAAGUUUUUCAUCAACUUUUUAAGGACAAGUUUACCCUGUAAUUUUUUAUUAUUUAAACGUAAAUGAUUUUGUCUAUUAUGAAGUACAAAAAGUUUAAAUUACUUCUCAAAAUUCCUUGAUACUUUACUAUAUUAAUGUAAACAUAUCACACAUCAAUCAACAAAAUUAUAUUUAAGAAGAUGAAAUUAUUAAAAGUAACUAUUGACGGUAAAAAUGUUAUGUUUGUUUUAAUGAUUUAAAUAAAUAUUAUAUUUGUGAUAUCUCGCCUUACUUUUUUUUAAUUGUUAAUUUAUGAUCUUUUCCGUCGCUUUGACUGUUUAAUAAUAUCAAAAAAGUUAUAUUGUCCAUAUUGAUAAUUUUCUUUAAAAUGCAACACAAAUUUAUCCAAACAUAUGAUUAUCCGUGUGAAACACAUAGAGGAAGAGUAAUUUGACUAUUAUUUUAUAUAAUUAUCUUUUAAUAAAAUUUGAGUACAUUUUGGGGACAUUUGAUUUUGUAGUCGUUUAAAAUAAUUAAUAAAUAAUUUAUGUGAUGAAAAAAAAAAUUAUCCAUAAACAGAGACGGACCCACGUGGUUAUGCCAAGGUGCACGUGCAACCGAUAACUUUUUUAAAAAAUCGUAUAUAUAUGUAUAGAUAUCCUACUAAAGAGUUAAUAUAUUUAAUUGUGCACCCUUAAUAACCAAAUAUGUCUGGGUGCACUGAUUCGGAACUCAAAUGCUAGCAUCAUUUGGGUCUCAAUGUUGCGGGUUUGAUUCCUGAUGGAUACCUCUUUUUUAUCAUUUACGACACCUCAGCUGGCCCCACACCACCUUUAAUUUAUAUCUAGAAAAUAAAUAUUCCCCAAUCCCAAUACCCAAUUUCCAUAUUCCCCCCACCCCCACCCCCCUCCCCCUCCCCAAAUUUCAAGCUUUAUUCGAUGUUUUCCAAAUUCCCCCAAAAGCCAAACUUCCUAGAAAGUGAAAACUUGAAUUUAGAAGGUUACAAGGAGCAAUUUUAAUUCUCCAUUUGAUGCUAACAACUAUACAUCUCUUCCUUUUGUUUUUUUAUUUUUUUAAUUUAAGUUUGGUAAUAUUAAAUUAUAAAUGCACUAAUCUAUUUAUAAGGAGGUAAGGUUUAUAUAUUACCCUAAAAUCCAUAUUUGUCCUAUAUAUUUAUAUUUUUAUCAUUGCUUAAGCCUUCACGACACUAUUCCUCAGCUGCCAGUGGAAGAUUCUCGAACGCUUAUGUUAUGAUAAAGUGCACCCGCACUCUUCAAAUUCUGGGUUCGCCUCUGCCCAUAGAUACGGGUGUGCAACAAUCUGUUUGGGUUGGAUUUAUGUAUUAUUGAUUCAGUUUAUUGAUUUUCGAUUUUAAAUAUACUAAAUCAAUAAUCAAAUUGAUAAGAUUUUUGUAACGAUUUUGAUUUUUUUUUUGUCCUUAACAGUUCAAUUCUUGGUUUGACCAAUCAGAAAUGUCAAUUGUGGUUUGCAAAGCAAUGAAGGCAUUAAUAAUAUUAGAAGAAUGUAUGUCACCAAAACAGAAUCAAUAAGUCGAUUAUUUUCUUUAUAAAAUCAUUAAAAAAUUGUUGACCCAAAAAUUCAAUAAUAAUAAAGCAAUAACAUUUUUUUGCACCAUCUCUACGGGCUCUACCCAUACAAGAAUGAUAUUUUACUUGUGAUAUAAUAAUAAUAAUAAUAAUAAUAAUAAUAAUAAUAAUAAUAAUAAUAAUAAUAAUAAUAAUAAUAAUAAUAAUAAUAAUAAAAAGGCUUACUAAUCUAAAUAACUAAAAACAAAGGAAGACAUUAGAACUCGAAAAAAACAACAUAAAAUUUUAAUGAGUGAAUAAAAGAAUAAUAUCGCAGAUCAAGAAAAUAUAUUAGCUUUAUUUAUUUUUGCCUACACAUAAUUUGACUACAAAGUAAGACAAACAACAUCAAAAUUGAGAGCAAUAGACACAAAGUAUAGAUAUAAGGAAUUAGGACAUCUUUUAAGAAACUAUAAACUCUCCAUCAUCGUUCAUGUAAUUUAAAAACUUAGUCUAAAAUAAGUUCAAAGGUGAACUUGACCUUUUGCUUGAUCAGGAUCAGUAAUUUCGUGCACCGAUAUAUCUACCAAAGCCCCGAUAAUAACAUACUCAUUCUAGAAUUAAAAAAUAAGUUCAGGUAUAACUAAUAGUAAUGUAGUCGAUUUAAGUAAUUCACAUACCUUCUUUCCAUCGUUAGAAAUAGAUUUGUCAUCUCUUUCUAGUUUCUCUUUCAAAUCCUCUGCAUGUAAACACGAAUACACGUUUAAUAUAUAUCACAAUCUUUCUAAUACACACACAUAUAACGAAAUUUUAAGUGAUUUGAAAUUCCAAACUAUUAGGUACAACUUGCAAUUAGAACUUUCACAUAUAUUUUCACAAAGUAGCUCUGGUAGAGAAGUUGGUUUCAGUAAAGACCCUUGAUUAAUGGCUCAAAUAAUCAAAGUUCAAACGCCAUAACUACAAAGAAGACACACAAAACACAAUAACUAAAAUACGUAUAACAUCCAUAGCAAGAAAAAACCUAAGCAGUGAAUUAUAACCUCACAUCGAACUUCAACCAAUGUUUUGUCAUACUCCAACUAAAAAGAAUAGCUGCUAUAUUAAGUUUAAGAAAUAAUUAGAUGAAAACAUGAUCAAGAAUAAAAAAUAAGAAAUUUGAUAAAAUUUUGUCGAUGUAAUGACUUAAGAACAGAAUACUUAAUAAUAAAUUGAACUCAAUAUAUACCAUAAGAAUUAACAUAGAAAAAGAGUACGUGCAACAAAACAAAUCAUUACAAACUAUAAGGCAUAAAUAAAUCACGUUAGAAAAUAUAAAUAAACUUUUAAAAAAAUCAAUAAGCUAUAACAAAGCAUGAAAAUUCUUUAUAUAGCAACUGUUUAGUAUCCUAGUUCACAUGAAAAAUUAGAAAAUUCUUCAAAAUUGAAUUUAAGGCAAAAUUAUACUGGAGUUUAAUUGAGACGAAGUAAAUCAAUUACUAAUUGAUUAAUUGAAUAGAGAGAAAGAAAGACAAAGUGGAGAAUAUAUAGAAAUUGAGUUAAGCUGAGUAUCCUAUAAUGUCACGGUUUCUAUUUGAGUCCUGUAGUUUAAUAAGGAAAGGUUUUAAUAUAAGUAUUUAAUUAAUUUUUAAUUUUUAAAUAUUAAAAAUAAGUGAAAAGACGAUUUUGUCUAAAGUAUAAACUUUUAAUGAAGGGUAAAAAGUUCAAACAAUAUUUCUAAGGCCCUUCAUAGUUUUAAUAUAUUAUAGAUAUAGAUUAGAUAAUGUACACCGCCCUUUUGUUCCUAUAAAUACGUCACAUAUUUUUUCCAUGCAAAGCAUCAACUUGUAAAAUUCUUUAGAGACGCCUCUUUUUCGAGCUUCAAGAAUAAUAUUGAGGUAUUUUUUUUGUAGGACUGAAACAAAUAGCAAUAUACAACAAUUGACCGGCUUAAGGUGCGAGAGUUUAACUUCGUCUCCGUUACUUUAGGUCCGAACAAUUUUACUUGAAGACGGUGUAUAUCGGCUUAAGGUGCGAGAGUUUAACUUCGCCUCCGUCACUUUAACUCUGAACAAUUUUACUUGAAGACGGUGGACAUCGGCUUAAGGUGCGAGAGUUUAACUUCGCAUCCGUCACUUUAAGUCCAAAAAAUUUAACUUCGCAUCUGUUUAUUAAUCUAUAGGAUUGAACGUUUAGAAAUCACCUAUAUAUGGGCGAAGUGGAAGCUGCUUCAAAGAGAAUGUUAGUAAAGGCCUAUUCUCUAAGCUCUCAUGAAAACCGAGACGUGUUCAUGACUGAAAAGAAUAAAACUGUAAGAACCAUAAACGGUAAAAGGCUGGUUGUGUGACAUGUGUUGUCUAGGUGUACAUUAAAGCUUGAUGGUUCAAAGAUAUCAAAUCUAUCGAUUGACCGAGUACAUCCGAUGCAUGUUCACUACGGAAAGUUCAAAGGGAAACCCACUUAUCCAGAUGCAAUCAGUCUUUGCUUUAUGAUCACAUACUUGUCCGUAAAAGUUUUACAAAAAAUAGCCAUUCCCCAUUCAUGUGGGGGAUUGUUGGGUUCAUAGUAAUGAAAGUUUGUUGAAUGAAAAAUGGAGAAAUCAAGUGGAAGAGAAAAAUUGAGUUAACACCAAAAAUGGAAAGUGUACCAAUUUUGGCAAGUUUACUCUUUCUCCCACAUUAGUGGAAGAAGAGAACUUGAGAGUGUUUAUAAUGAGAAACACUUAUUCCACAUGGUAAGUGAAGCAAGGAAAUAGAGAUGCCUCGCGCCGUCGUCGUCGCUCGCUCGACUCGGCUUCGGAUUUGGAUCGAUCGAUGAGAUUUUUCUUUUUGAACAAAUUUUAUUUGACAAAAUCUGAACAAUGAUGAAAAACGCAGGAAAUAUUUCUGAGUUUUAAUCUUCCAUUUACAUGCAGUGACGCGAUGCUACUAUUUUACGUGAACAGUGACGCAGAACAGUUGCACUACUUCGGAAAUAUUGCAUUGCUUCAGAACUGGUGCACUGGUUUCUGUUAUUGAACUGAUGCACUGGUUGAAUAAACAGAUGCAACCAUUCAGCAAAAGACACACUGAUUCAUGGAAAGAUAUGAUUGUUCAUGAAAGGAUGGAAUCUUUGAUGAACAGACAUGAAUUUACAGCAAAGGUAGAACCUUUGGAGUGAACCAUUGCCUCCUUUCUAAAGAGGCAUCAUUUGGCUAUAAAUAACCUGAUUUUCAUCCCCAGGUUAGAGAUAGAAAACAUAGAAAUUUUCAGAUUACAAAACAUUCUUCUUGUCUUAAAAAUACUCUAAGUGUGAUCAUUCAAACCGUGAGUGUGUUCUAAGAAUCCGCCUAUUUGAGGUACCGCUAUAGUCGGAUUGAAGGUCAUUUUAUCCUGGGAGGAAGAUUCCAUAACCUCGAGUACAGUGAGGGGAAUUAUUCCUUAAGGAAAAUCCGUGAAUUCGAACUACUUGGCCUUAAUCAUUUCUGUUUCAUCUUUAUUUUCUGAAAAAUAAAUACACCUCUUGGAAAGGUCUUUUUGAUCUUGUGUUGAGGGUAUUUAAUACUUCAUUGUGUUCUUGUUCAUACUUGAACUCGAGUUGAAGUUGUUGUUCUGUUAUACAGAUUCUACGUACCCAUAUUGUGGAAAAUAACAUCAAAAGCAUCCUUAAUUGCCUACACAAGAGUUUUAGCUACCAACUAUCCGAAUUUUCGAAUAAACUCUUUAUGUCCUGGCUAAUGCAAAACAGACGUAAACGAAAAUACUGGAAGCUUAACUGCAGGAGAAGGUGCUAAGAGCUUGGUGAAUCUUUCUUUGUUGCCAAAUGAUGGACCUUCUGGCCUUUUCUUUUACAGAAAGGAGGUCACAUCUUUUUGAACAUUGAUUGAUCAACAAAAUUGAUUUGCGUGUUUGGCAGAAUCCAAUCGUUUCCUAUCAGUUUUAUAUACAUCGCAAGAAUAAGAUGGAGAUACAUUUUAAAACUCACUCGAAUUUUAUUGUUUAAAUCCUGAAUUAUUUACUGCUGCUAUUUUGGGAUAGUGUCUGUGUUUGCCCUUUUAAUUAAAGGAUGUGAAUUCCUACUUCCUUAUUUAUGAGUAUUUUGUUGAUUUUUUUCCAGAUAUGGCUUCUUAAUCAUCUGAAUAUACUCUACAAUUUCAUAUAUGCUACUAGGGAUUAUAACUUCAUUCUACUAAACACCACCAAUGAUGUGAUUUAGUUUGGAAUAAACUCUUUGUAUUUAAAAUUUUAAAACUUAUACCUUAUAUAUAACUUAAAAUUACGUGGAACUGUCAUUUACUGAUAAUUAUAAUUACCGUCAUGCGUAUAACUUAAAAUGUAUAUCAUAAUGUAAUUAAAAUGUGACCUCCUAUACUCGACUCAGAUUUAUCAUAAUUAAGUGGCCCUCAAAUUAACUACUAGACCAAUCUUUUUACUACAUUUUUAAAACGUUAACCUACAAACAACAAUAUUCACAAAUCAAAAAAUUAAAAAAAGAAAUAAAAUCAUGAAGAACUUCUAAACUCUAGACGUUCCCAAGACAAUUUGUAUGUUGUGAAGUAAAUCUGAUGUAAUUUGCGGUAAGUUUUUUUUUUUUUUUUUUCUUUGCAAUCAGAAAUCUAUAUUGUUUUUUUUCCUGAAACUAUUAAUUGAGAAGUAAAAGGAACAAGUGAGACCCAAGUUGUGAGUUAUCACUGUAAAAUGUCAUAUUUGUCAAAAUAUAUUUUCGGAACUAAACAUAACUGUCAAAACAUAGGUUAAAUUAAAAGUUUAAAAUUCAAAUUCAAAACAAAAUUGCAGGAAGUUUUUCAGUGAAUUAACAUCUAUUUUUGUACUCUUAAAUUAAAACUGAAAUAAACUAAAAGAGAAAUAAUUUUUUGAAGUUUUUUUAAAACGUAGGAGGAAGUUUAGUAUACAGUUUGUGUGACUUUUGCAUUUUUUAAAUUGUUUUUAUAUUAAUAUUUAAUUUUUAAUGUCUAAUGAUAAAUACUUGAAAAUAUUAUUUUAAUAUUUAUUUUUAAUUUUUUUUAAUGAUAAAUGAUGAUUUUUGUGGUGCUGACAUGUGACAGUUUUUGCUUCUGUGAUUAGAUAUAGCUAGUUAACGGACCCGCGCGUAAUCUUAAAAUAUAUCAAUACUAAUCUAAGAUGUUGAUUAAUAUAAGAUUAUAAAAUCAUAUUAAAUUAAAUAAGUGCUAUUUAUACUAUAAAAUGUUAUAUGCUAUAAAAUAUUUAUUAGUUCAAUAUUUAUUAUUAUUAAAUUAUUUUUAAAAGGAUAAAAUAACUGAAAUGAAAAGAUAUAGGUCAUUUAACUAUUAUUGUAAUAGUUUUUAUAAAAAAAAUUUAAAGAUUCAUACACUCAAACAUUUAAUAGUUAUUAUUCUAAAUAGAACUGAACACAAAUUAUAUAUUAUUAAACAAUUUGUCAAGUAUACUACCUUAUUUCAUUAUUUUUUAAAUUUGCUUAUAAUGUAGUAUUUAUCUUGUAUUAUAUUAAUUUUUAAAAUAAUUUAAAAAUAAAAAAUAUUUAAUAAUCAAAAAAUUAAUUUGAACCCUAAUGAAAUAACUUAUAAUCAUAAAUAAAUAAAUAAAUUAUAUUAGACUAUAAAUUGUAAAAAUACUCAUAAUUUUUAGAAAAAUGUGGACUUAAAAAAUAGGAAGUACAAUUUGCAAAAUCUAUUUGAAUUAAUAGUAGGAAAUAUAUACUAUGUGGCCAAAAAUAGGAUUGGAUAAAGGAGUGAUCCAAUAGAAGUAAAGUACAAAUCGAAAAAAGGGAAGUAAAGAGCUACCUACAUUUUGACUCUAGAAAGUUCAUCUUCUCUCCAAUUUUCACCUAGUUUUCUCCAUUAAAAUUUUACAAUUUAAAGUUAAUAUUAAUGAUUUUGCGUUUUAAGUUUGCUUUUAGUGUAGAUAUCUGCGGAAUGCGUUGGUGACAUUAAAAUGUGUAUAUAAUAAUUUGAGAUAUCAAUUAUAAUAUAAGAUUUUAAAAUCAUACUAAAUAAAUAAGUGCUAAUUAUAAUAUAAAAUGUUACUAUAUGAUUUUAAAAUUUUAUUAAUUCAAUAUUUGUUAGUAUUCAAACAUUUUAAAAAGAGUUAAGUAAUUAAAAUAUAUUGGUCCCUUUUUAAGAAUGUUUAUAAUGUUGUAUUUACUUUAAAAGUAGGUUUAAAACAAAAAAGUAUAUUUAGUAGCAAUAACGCUAAAAUUUUAAUUUAACAUCUAAUGUAAUGAUUUAUAGACACAAAAAAAUAAAUAAAUUAUAUUAAAAUAUAAAUAUUAAAUGUUCUCGUAUCUUUUCUUAAUUAUGGAUUUUUUGUAAAAAAAAAUAGUUCACAAUUAUUAUUGAUAAUAUUUAAUAAAGAAGUGAAAAUUUUAUAGAAAAAUGAACGAUUGUCAAAAAGUUGAUUGGAUAACAAAUUGGUGCAAUAGUAAGUAAAGUACAAAUAAAGCAAAACGAAAGUAAACUACUCUACAUGCUGAAUCUAGAAAUUUCUCUAUCAUCUACUUUCCUAAAAAAACACCUAGAAAUUUCUGUCUCAUCAACUUUCUAAAAAAUCACCUAGUUUUCUCCGGCAAUAUCUACCAAUGAGGAAUUCAUUGAAGUGUUGAGAACUAUGAUUUGCUUUGUAGUUUAUUUAGUAUGAAAUAUUGAGCAUUUGUUACGAAAUACUAAAACAAACAUGCUUCUGUACACUCCCCUUUUUAUUGGUGUAUUGUCCAUGAUUUUUAAUGUAGAACUACGGUAUUGCUAAGUAUUUAACCCCUUAUACUCCCUUAAAAGGAGGAAAUAAAGGCGGACAAAGUAAAACAGGUGCAACCCAAAGCAAUCAAUAUAAUCUUUUUAAUGUUCUGUAAGAGAAUUGGGGACUGUGGAAAUUGAUAUCAAGUAGUAUUUUUAAAGUGGCAUAUUACCCUGAGUUCUUUCAAUGUACAUCUCAUACAAUUGUGAAAGUAGAAUACUUUCUCUGAGUAGCUUUUCCUUUGCUACUCAGAUACAUAACUCAUAUGUCAAUGUUAGGGAGUUGUGGACCAGCAGUUAAGAGUAGGAAACUAUUUAAUUCUUCUAAUGAACCUUAUCCGUUCACGCCUGAAUGGAACAGUCACCGUAGAUGAAUGGCUAGAAGUUCUCCGUGAUGUGUUUUUGCUUAUCAUGUUUUUUGCAUUGGGUUGUUAGAAAUUCAAAAUCUUGAUUAAAUGUUUGUUUAGUUUGCUAAUGAAGUUCAUUUCUUGUUGUGUAUGGUUGAUCUUCUAGUUUUUAUUUUUGAAAAGUGCUCAUUUCUGAAUGUGCUAUUUUUUGGUAUAAAAGAUUGGUUAUUUGAGUUGAAAGUCUUUCGGAAAUAGCUUCUCAUACCCAAUAAGGUAGAGGUAAGGUAUGCAUACACUCUACCCUCUUAAGACAUGAUUUAUGGAAGUAUAGUGAGUGUGUUGUUACAUCUGCAGAAAACAGUCGUGGAAUCUGUUACAUCUGUAUGUUGUUGUUUACUUAUUAGGUUGAUCGAUCAAAUUUUUUGUGAUCAUAUCUUGAUGUAUUUUUCAUGUUGUUGAUUGUUGUCAGAUCGUUUGUUUUCAGGUAAUGAAUGUCUUCUAUUUCAGAUGUGUACUCAUUGGCUUUUGCUGUACUUCUGUUCAUCUGAUUUAAGCUUAAACGAAUGAGAUCCUAAGGUCUGUAAUACCAUACAUUAUCAAUUCCCAAAUUAAGAUUUAUUUAACAGAGAGUUGCAAUGAGUUUUUCUGCCCUUAUAUAGUAAAAGGGCUCGCGUGCUUUUCUAGAGAUAAACUUCUUAAAGUUGACAGCGAGGGGCGUUGUCUGAUCACCAAUCAUGAUAAUUUUGGUGAGUACAUGAUAUUAAAGAAAACAACAGGGAUGUACGAUUCUUAAUAGGAAUACAAAUCGCUGUCCAAACUUUUUUUCUUCUUAAUGUUUAAGUUGGCUAAGGUUUUUGAUUCACCCCAAUUCGUGUAUAUGAGGUUGCAACUUCCUACACGAUGUUCAACAUGACAAAAGUUAGUAUUUUAUCUUGAUCUUUAGCUUGUGCACGUGCAGAAACUUUAGACCAGAUUUUAUUUAAUAUAGCUUACACAGUUUGUUGUCCCUUUAAGUUGACCAAUAACACCUUAUUUGUGGUAGAACGGCUUGUUUGAAUCAUGGUUACAGAGAUAUCGAAUAAGCUAUACUAAAGCACCUGUAUGUAAAGAGCAAUGGUCAGUGUUUUGGGUAGAUCUAUCCAGUUAUUUUGUUAGUUUUUCUAAUAGUCUUAAUAAUCCUACAUGAUUAAGAAAAGGUCAAAAAGAAUCCUAUUACUGAAAAAUGUUAGUAUCUUGCUUGUGACUUAUUUGUGUAUGCAGAAGUAACCAAGGAUGGCAUAAUUUAUGUUGGUGAAAUAGAAUGCAUGGUGAGUUAUUUUUCAUACAUCUUAUUGAUAUUUGUCUAGACUCUAGUUAGUACUUGACAGCAUGUUUAAAAUGACAACUUUUGUGAACUAUUUAGGCUCAUUUUGUUUUUCAAACCUAAUCUCUUUUGUUUGUAUUGAUGUUUUGUUUUGUUUACCUGUUGUGCAAUAUACACAUGACCAUGCCUGAGAGUUGUGACACAGUUGUUAAUGUUUGGAAGGCCAACUGUACAUUAAUAUAUUUAGUUGGACAUUAAUAAAAGUAAUAACCCAUUAGUAAAUUUCUUGCAGUAUUUGUAUUCUUUAUUGUGGUUAAGAUUCAAUUUUCAGCUUUCUUAAAGCUUUGUCUGUUUUUAUUGAUAUUCAACUGGAAUAAUCUUUCCAGGUUGAUGAUGACGUUCAGAGGUAUAAAGAACUUUUGGAGGCAAUCAGAAGAUGACCAUCCGAGGUUGGUAAUACUGUUGCCAGUCUUUGUAAAAAUUUUACAAAAGAGUUUUUUGUUCAUCUUAAUACUGUUUUGUAAUUCAUUAUAAUGAUCUAGCAGAACAAAAUGAAAAAUAUACCUCCUAUCUGAAUUUUUUUUCUUAUUUUUGGUUCAAUUUACUGAUAAUAUCCAUGUAAAUGGUUAAGACUAUAAUCAUGUAUUCAGACAAUAGUAGAGACUUUAUGGUGGAUGACAAAAUUGAUAUUUUCUGUUUCAGGAAUGUGAAAUGUCAUCAAUUUAUACUGAUAGUUGUCGGACAAAGUUACAUAAAAAAUACAAACAUCAAUACAGUUAUUCAAAUUUUACAUUACCAUCAGGUAAUUUAAGAAACAGAAAAACAAAUUGUUUUACACUUGAUGAACCUAACAACCGAUCCUUGGUCGUUCUCUUGCAUUGAUGACACAUAUUGGAUCCAAUAUUUUUCUCCUGUAAUGUUUCAUUGAAAAAAAGAUUAUAAUCAAAAUGAAUAACAUUAAAUGAACAUAUAUAAAGUGUAAGUAAUGAGAUGAUAAAGAUUUUAUUACAUUCUCAACCAUCCUCCGUCAGUUGGGGUGCUGCAGUGCAUUAAUAUGCAGAGAUCUUUUUCAUAUUCUGAAUCAACCACAUUAAAAUCAACAAUUGUAUAUAUAUCUCCAAAAUACACUGAGUAUCAGACCAAAUUUUGAAAAAAUUCUUUAUACACUACAUUUGUAGCUUCAUUUGUUAUCUGCCCAUCUUCAUCAUAAACCAAUAUUUUUAAUCCCUUUCUACUUGUCACUCUGGAAAGAGCUACAUACAGUUGUCCAUGUGUAAAUACUGGCUUUUUCAAAAAUAAUCCCACAUGAGAUAGAGAUUGUCCUUGACUUUUAUUAAUUGUCAUGACAAAAGACACAGUAAUUGAAAAUUGUCUUUUUUGAAACUUAAAUGGAAUUCUUGCAUCAGAUGGUGUUAAAGUCAUUCUUGGAAUAAACACUUUCUGUCCAACCAUCUGUCCAGAUAAAACUUUGGCUUCAAUUACCUUAUUUUCAAGUUUAGUAACAAUCAACCUUGUUCCAUUGCACAAUCCUGCUGACUGAUCAAUAUUUCUCAAUAACAUCACUGGAAUCCCAACCUUUAAAGUGAUAGCAUGAUUUGGAACUCCGAAAUAUUUAAUAGUAUUCAAAAAUUCUAGUGUAUGUAUAUGGUCCAAAGCUGAAUAAGUAUGAUCAGAGCUGCAAAUUUUAUCAGAACUCAUUUUCAGGAUUAUGAUUGAGGAAAAUCAUAUAUUGAUUGAUUGAUUCCACCAUAUCAAGAGUUGGAGCAAAAAUGGCUCUUUGUUGUAGGUAUUCUAGAUCAUUGCAACGAUUGAUGAAAUCUGGAUACGUACUUUCCACAAUAGCUGAUAUUGGAUUAAUAGACUCUUUUAUUCCAGCGAAGCUGGGGUGAGGGCGCGUAGGUCAGGCCAGGAGUGGUCCCCCCUCCCCGACACCUACGGAGUAGGUAUGAACCGGGUUGUCCCUUUUAUCAUUUGGUAUGGGAACUUUUUCUAUUCUAUCAAAUAAACUUCCAAUCCUACCAUCACCAACAGCCAAAAUCCAAUUCAAAAAAUCUCUCAAUUCAUCCAGAUGUGUACCUAUCUCAUUACCUUGUAGUCUCAUAUUCUUUGUUAGUCUCAAUAGUUGACAGUGAGGCCAUAAAUAUGAAGAAUUGAGAGUUGCAUUAACAAUAUCUUGCCUAGUACCUUUUGGGAUGACAGGUAAUAUUUGUCUGAAGUCUCUUCCUAAAACAAUAGUUUUACCACCAAAUGGUCUUUGCGAAUUUGAUGAAUCUUUGAAGCUAAGAAUAUCUCUUAAUAUUUUAUCAAGAGCUUCAAAAUAAUAUCUAUGCAUCAUUGGUGCCUCAUCCCAGAUAAUCAACUUUGUCUUGAUAAUUAAAUUCGCUAAAGGAGUACCUUGCUGGAUACUACAUGUUGAGUCUUCAGUUAUAUUUAGUGGAAUUACAAAUCUUGAAUAGGCUGUUCUUCUACUUGGUAACAAAAGUGAUGCAAUUCCUCUAGAUGCAAACUGUUAGCACAAUAUCUCCUUUAGAUCUUAUGAAAGUAGACAAAAUCUUCCAAAUAAAAGUUUUUUCUGUUAGAUCAAAUCCGUAUAAAAAAAAUCCACCUUUAUUUUCAUUCACGGAUGCUAUUAUCUUUUUUUACACUGACUUUUGCUCAUUUGCCAAUUUCUCAAUCAAUUAUUGAUGUUCCAAUGCUAAAGCAUGCCUAUUGUAACGCAUUUCAUCACAUAUAAAUCUGUUGUUGUUGUCAAUUUUCUUCAUCAUUAUAAAUAGACAUCUCCAUUGUUGGAAAAUCAAGAAAACCCUUUCCACAACCUUAUAAAAAAUUUUCUAUUUUUUGCAAGCAACGAUUUUUCAAAUCAUCAUCAGUCAGGUUAGCUUCUGCGAAAACAUAAAAACAUGUUAAAAUUAAGUACAGUAAAGAUAAAUUGUGGUUAAAAAUAGUCAAUGAAAGAUGUGAUCGAUGAAAUCAUAAUUAAAUAAUGCAUAAGUAUGUGUUAUCAUAUGUAAUUAAAUCUAAGUUAAUGAAAUAAAAUAUUCUUUAUAUGAGUAUUUUAAAAACUAAAAGCAUUAUAUAAGUAUCUGGGUUAUCUAAAACUCUUCUUUCUUCAGGAAGAAUAUCUUCUGAUAGUAAAUGCCAUGUUGCUCGCCAAACAAUCUCAGGACGUGACAUUGAAUUCGAUAAAAGUAGCAUAGCAAAUAACUGUCGUAAAUAUGAUGGCAUUCCCCAAUUACUUGCCUCUACUAUCGCAUCCACAUAUUCUUUGCCAUCGUCUAAUAAACCUAAAGCAUAACACGCAUCUCUGAAAGUCUUGUGAACAUAGUUGUUGGUGUUUCUAAGAUCCUCAUAAGAUGUUGGACCUUUAAUUACAUUCAACAAUAAUCUAAGGUAAUAUUGCUCACCGGAUCCUGGUGGAACAAAGAAAAUUCUGUCAAUGGAAAAGGUAGAAGUUUUUCUUUUUUUUCAUUUUUUUGAUUCUUGCUUCCAUACAUACUUUAGAGGGAAUUCUGCAUACUUUAGCUGUCUUGCUUCAGGAAAUUCUUUAUUAGCCUCAAACCACUUUAAAAACAUUGAUUUUUUUCCGUUGACCACUGUAUCAAUCGGAUCAUCAUCUGUAAAAAUGAUAUUUUGAUUGCCAUCUAGAUGAAAAGAUAACCUUUCUACAGGUAGUUCUCUAUGAUGGAUUGGGAAAUUAAAAAUUCUCCAAGCUACUUCACAUGGUGAUAUGUAUCGACAAUUACAAUACAUAUUUAUUUCAUCAACAAUUCUUGAGUCAUCAAUAUUCUCACUUUGUGAAAAUGCAACCGUGACACGAUCAUGUCCUUUAUUAACAUACUUAAAUAAGCAUUUAAUGGACCUUGAUUGAUUGCACCAUUCAACAUUAAUAUAUGCACCAUAUUUCAAUAAUAGAAAUCUAUUGUGUGGUACAACAUAUCUGUUAUCCAAAUCAAUACCUUCUCUAGUAGUAGAUCUACCAUCAUCCCUUCUUUUAUAGAUUGGAUAUCCUUCUUCAUCAAUCGAAGUAGAUUCAACAAACUUUUUUGGAAAAUGCUUUGUACAUUUGCCAUUUUGCAUGCAAGGAGAAGAUUUCAUUAUAGAACCACAUGGUUCGUGCAUCAUGAAAUUUGUAACAUCAACUAAUUUAUCAGGCAAUUCAGCUGAAAUAAUUUCAUCAAUAUCGGCAUCAUUUGAAUAUUUUUUAUGGAGAAACAGUAGGAUAUGUGCAUGAGGCAAUCCCCGCUUUUGAAAUUCAAUCGUAUAAAUCACUGGAUAAAAUGAUAUAUUAGAUAAAUAUUUAUAUUUUUAUGUUGAUAAUUAAAAUAAUAACUUACUAAUAAUAAAAAAAGUUAAUGUAAUUAUUGAGAUACAACAUAAAGUUUAUACCUGUUUUUACUUCUCCAAAAACUUUAUUGUCUCACAAAUCUUGUAUCAACUAAUUCAAUUUGACUUUGAAAAUCCUUGUUAAAAUAUCUGAUCGAUCUUCUGGAGACAAUCCCCGACACUUAACAAAUCUAGUUACCUCUGGCUAUUUUGGAUUGUAGAUGAAGAGAUCAGGGUAUCCAGCCCAUUUACAAAUUGCCAUAGCAUCCUGAUAAUUUUGCAACAUGUAACGUGUUCCUCCAGUGAAUGAGGAAGACAAUAUAACUCUUUGUCCUUGAGAAGAUGGUUCAGUGUCUUUUGUUAAAACAACUUCUUCUAACCCUUUAUAAAAGUGAAAUCUCAACUUUUUUUGAUUAAGCCUAAUAUAAUUCAAUCUAAAAGAUUUCAUCAUUGUAAAUCCAUCAAUCAAGAAUUGCUGAAAUAAUCUUUUAGAUGAUACAAUUAUGGGAACUUCAUGCUUCCUUUCUUGAAUUUUGUAUGAGAAGUAUUCGCGAUAGCUGAUACAUUUUCUUCCGCGUGUUGAUUCUUCACAAACAUUUGAAGAAAUAUCUUCUCUGUAUCCAUCUUAACCAUAUGGUAAAAGUAGUGGAUAAUGCAAACCCAAAUGUGAUGCAUUCAAUUCAUUUAUCCUUUGAAGUUGUCCAGAUUGAGUUUCAAUAAUGAUAUCUCUGUCAAACCUUGUUGGUUCAAAAUCACCUACAACCAAUGCAGCUACUUUUGAAACUGAUGGCAAGUUGUAUCUUCUUCCAUCAAAGCCCCUUUUGCCUAUCAAUCUAAGAUGCAAAUUUGAAUUUUGAUUUUUUUGAAAUCUAUCUCUAACCAUUCUAAAAGACUUAGCUAGCGCAUUGUGUUCAUCUAGCAUUUUCUUCACAUCAUUGACGAUUUCAGAAUGUAUUUUUUGUUGCUUUCACCAUGACUGGGGAAAUUUUUUUAAUCAAAGUACAGUAAAAUUGUGAUUAUUUUUAAAAUAUAGUUAAAUAUUUUACUAAGCAAUAACUUACCUGAUAGCAUGUAUUCUAUUGUUCACCUCAUUUUUCGUAUCAUAAAUAUAUAAUUGUGCAAAUUUUGGAACAAAUCCCUCAAUAAGCAAUAAGCUUCCUAUUUUAUGAUAAUUCUUCCCAGAGAAUUUGAAUGUUCUUGGUACUUUUGUUUGGUUGAUAGAUGUAUCGACUUUUCCUCCCAUUGAUGUAAAAGUAAACAAGGAAUUAUAAGUUCAAAUAUUCUCUUUGAAAUAGUUGCUGUUUUUUCCUGCAUAAAAUUUGAGUUUGUUAAAAUUAAUACAUGAAUAUGUUAUGAUGUUGCUGUAUUUAAAUUAUAAAUGAAUAUAUGUACCUGAUCCAAGCAAUAAUUCCUUUAGCGCAGAAGGAGGUUCUUUUGAAUUUGACAGUUUAAUCUUUCCAUUACCACAACACAAAGUAAAUACUGGCUUUUAUUUUUAUACUUCUUCUCAAUUCUUUCUUCGUACUAGAAGUAAGCUCCGCAGUAUUCACAUUCACAAGUAGGAUCUCCUAUGUCCCAAUAAUCUAAUAUUGCCGUAAUUUAAUAAAUAUAAAUUCAGUAAUCAUAAGCAAUAUUCUAGCCUUAUAUAUGUAAAUAUAAUAAGAAAUAUACUGACCUUCAUUGUUAGUUGUCCAAUCUUCGUUUACAUCCACUACAAAUAAUGAAAAUAAAAUAAUAAAUAUAUAAUCUAUUGUAUUAAAUUAAUUAAUAAAGUAUAACGAUAUGAAUUGCUGUUGGGUACCAUUCUAUAUACCUUCAAACAUAUCUUCAUCUACAUAUUCAUCAUGAGUUUGUUGGUUUGAGAGCAAAUGGCCUUCAUACAUGAAUAUUCGAAUUAAAUGAUGAUGUUAUAUGUAAAAGAUUGACUUAUUAUUGUGUUCUUUUAAUGAAAUACCUGAUAUAUCACCAUAUUACCUAUUUAAAUAAGUUGAAUAAGUAUUCUCAUCCACCAACAAUCCUUUACCCUUAGAAUGCUUUGUAGUUGAAGAUAAAUUGGUCACGAAAUCUGUCAUAUACAAAUUAACAUUGAAUGUUGUAGUUGACAUACCAAUCCUAUAUAAUGUCGUUGUGAAGCAAAGUGUUUGAUACAUAUAUUUUCAUGUAAAUGUAUUAAAUCUGUAAUUUUUAUGAAUAAAUACGCCUUUACAUUUCUGUUGAUUUAUAUAUGAAGUAUAAAUACUUUGAAAACAUGAAAACAUAAAUGUGUCUUUACAUUCAAAUAUUAUGUAUAUUAAACUUUAUAUUUUUUUCAAAAUUGAGAAAGUAUCUAAUAGUACGGUAAAAGAAUAUAUGUAUCAGAGAAGUUUUGAAGAAGCAAUGUAAAAUGUAUGAAAAAAUACAAAGGAAUAAAGUUCAUGCCAUUGUUAUCUGAAGAAUAUUUUCCUCAUUUUUUAUUCUUCCUUAAGCAUAUUCUGUUUUUUCUUGCAAGUUUCUUUUGAUCUUCCAUGAUAAAGUGAGUUUUUUGCUUUAUUUUUUAAGACGGGUUUGUAAUACUGAAAAAUAAUAGCAGUUGAAUGCAGUUGAGUAUAUUCAAAUUUUAAUUUUUUAAUUGUUUAACUAUUCUUUUAAUUUAUCAACAGUUACAUGAAGUUUUAUUUAAUGACAUACAGGUCCUAAUGUUUUCAGACACAAAGACAUACAGUAUAUUUCAUCGAAACUGAAGUAAGUUUUGUAUUAUCCCUUGCAAGAUUCUACUUGAUUUAUCUGAAUUUGUGUGCAUAUGUUAUGUUUAUUUUUUUUAAUUAAUUUCUACGAAGCGCAUAUUCAAUAAGUGAAUUGCGUCAUCAAUGUGCAGCAAAAUUUGCAAUGAGCUGUCACACCGAGCUCUGGUUCAGUUAGCAAGCAAAUUCAACAGCCUGUCAUCUUGUUUAAUUUUUUCAUCUACUGAAUCUUGAUAUUUAAUAAUCAGUCUUUUUUAUUAUUUCUACAACUUUGUUGUUGUAUCGAUUUGAGUCUGGUUGUUGACUUGCCAAUUUAAUUUGGGCUUUUUGAACUGGGCACAACAACAACACAUGUGUAAUGGGAUUACUCAAAAGCAUUAAAAUCAUCCUUACGGUUUUAAAUCAAUUUUGUUUGUUAAGUGAUUUAUUAUAAAUAGUUUUAUAAUUUUCGCAAUGAUUGCCUCUAAAGCUUCAUUAAAUGUGUUUUCCGAAAGAAUGAUGACUGAUAUAGCUUAUCAAUUAACUGUAACGAUCGAAAUAAAUUUUCUAUAUUUAUUGAGUUUUAAACAGACAUAAAUGUAUGUGGACAGAUAUCUGCAUCUCCAAGACUUCAUAAAUUUCACUUUAGUAUCUGAUGCCGUAUUUAAUGUAUGUGAAUGUUGUUGCUGCAGUUUAUUAAAAAGCAUUUUGUGUUCUGAAUCUGUUCUUCUGAAUUAUGUUUUAGGGGCCUAAUCAAAAGCAAAAAUAGUUAGCAACCUGGGAAGCAGAUCUGCAAAGGAGAGAAACGAUUCUUUUUCUUUUUAUUUUUAAAAGUUGUUUGCUAUGUGCAUUGCUGCAAAGUACACUUUUUUCUGUGAUUUUUGAUCAGCUACUGCUGCGGGGAUGCAAAUAUCAAAAAGUUUAGUUAGUAGUUUUUUUGGCUAAACUAUUUACUACAGCUUCCUCAAUUCGUGUAGUGUUUUCUUAGUCUAUAUUUAUCCAAAUUCAGUUUGAGGCUCGUGAAUGCUUUUCAAAAUUCUUUGCUUUAGCUAAAUGCGUUGUUAUGAGUUUUUUGAUACGUAGUUUAUUCUACUUCAUAUUUUCUUCAAUUUAGUUUAAGGAAGAUUCAUGAUUCAUAUUUAGUACCAGUUUAACAGGCUAUUGAACAAGGAGAAGAUGAUGUUGAUGGCGGUAAGAAAUGACUUCAGUUAGUUUCAGAUUGUAAUUAAAUCGACUUAUUUUCUCUUUAGCAUGCUGAUGUAAUUAUUUUUAUGAUUCAAUUCCUGCUGGAGUGCCAACUGAUGAUAGGAAUUGCCCUUCGUUUUUUACGAUUAUUCAUCCUGAUAUAGCAAAUGUAUACCAGCUCAUUCUCAGCGGCUGCAUCUUUGGCUUUUGCAAGCUUGUUAGGUAGUGUUUUCACUUAUUUUUUAUAUUUUCUAAAUGAAGAAUGUUUCUUUGAAUAUAAAUAAUAAAUUGUUUCAAUGCAAGGAGUACCUUUUGUAAAGAUGUUAUCCAAUCUAUGUUUUUGGGAAUGGAUGGCCUAUUUUUUUGUACUGCAGGCUCCACGUUGAUGAAAUUUUACGCGUUGAUUUAAAAAUAGUAUAGAAGAGAAACUGAUGGGAUAAACAUACUACUAUGUUUUACACUGCUGCCAUUUGUGAUUAGAGUCAAAAGGUUUUAGACUUUUCGUUUCCACACUGGGAUAGAUGACUUUCUGAUUUAUGGACUAUGAUACUUCAGUCAACAACUGUCUUAUCUCUCACAAAUGUUACUCAUUUUUUCAAUGGCUAUAUUAGGCAUCUUGUAUUUCAUAAUUAACUUGUUCAGGAAUUUUGGUAACUACGAAAAGGCUAUGGAUACAUCUAAUCCUUGAUGAAUGAGAUGUAAUUUGCCUCAUUAUAUUGGGCAAGUCUUGAUUAUUUAUGCAGUAGAUUCUACAAUUAUAUCAAAUAGAGAAAUGGCUCCUGGUAGAGAGCUUAUCAAGGUAUGUGAGUUGGUUGAAUUAAAUGAGACACUUAGCUUGUUGACCUUGCACCUAUAGCACCUUCCCCUAAAAAUGCAAACGUGUCACAUUGUCUGCAUUUUUAUUUGUGUAUAUAUUGGAUUUGCACUAUAUUAUCCUACGUAAUGGUGUGUAAUUAUACUUUUUCAAACUGGAACAGUCAGCGUAAAUGGAUGGCUAGAAUUUGCAGCAGCAGCACAAACAGUUGUUCUAUUUAAGGAACUGUCUCGAAGUGUUCAUGAUAUUCAAUGCAAGGAGCUUAUUUGUUAUUUGUAAUCCGCAGGUGGGUGUUUUAUCUUAUACUUAACAUAUAGUACCAUAUUUUUUUAAUAUUUGAAGCACUUUUUGCAACUAUAACAUUUCAGAUACUAACCAAAGCUUUAAUAGUUUCAAUAGUUAAAAUAUUUAUGUUCAAUUUUUGUAGAGAAGUUAUCAUUAUUAUGGAAGUACAUAUUCAUCACGAGCAUCUUGGUGGAUAGAGUUAAAUGGUCUCCGUAUUUGGUGGGAGAUAGCAGAUAUCCUAUGAAAUUAAUAGAGGUGCAUGCAAGGUGGCCUAGUUAUAGAACAAAGUCAUUAAUAAUACUAUUUUAGAACGGAACUAAAUGGGUUAGUUCCUUAGUAAUACAUGACCAAAUUGACCAUACCAUCAUUUGAUAUCCACGUCAUGACAUUAUAAUUUUAGCAGUGUUCGCAGUGAGAUUUCACUCGUGGGAAGCUUAAAGCCUAUAAUUGUCUAUUAGUGUUGCUCUCCUUUGUCCUUGUUAUUUUAAGUUUUAUUUGCUUGCAUAUGAACAGAUACCAGAGGAGGCAAGUAAUGGUAUGUAAUUAUACUUUUUCAAACUGAAACAGUCAACGUAAAUGGAUGGCUAGAAAUAUGCAGCACAAGCACAAACAGUUGUCCUAUUUAAGGAACUGUGGCCAAGUCUUCAUGAUAUUUAAUGCAAGGAGCUUAUUUGUAAUUUGCAGGUACAUGUAUUAUCUUAUACUUAAACAGAUAGUACCGCAUUUUUCAAAUUUUUCAUAUUAUUUAUCAAUCUCACUCUCAUUUUUAUUGUGAAUACAUACACCAUCUAUCUAUAUAUAAAAACAUAUUUUUCAUUACUUUGUUCAAACAUCUAAUAUAGUUAUUCAUAACUGAUUGUAAACAGUACAUAAAACCUACGUUAUAGUAUGAAAAAAAUAAACUGAAACUAAACUUGAAGAAAAGUUAAUAUAGUCGACCAUGUAGUUCCCACAUCAUAUUUUUUUUUCCUUUUUAAUCACUUUGCGAAGCUUGCUGUUGACUUGUUUGUCAUUACACUUAUCAUCAAAUUCCUGCAUAGGUAAUUUCCCCAUAGAUUUACUUCUCUUGAAAGUUUGUUUUUCUGUCAUAUCAACACUGACACUGACUUCUGUGAGGGAUGAUCCACAACCCGAGAGAUUGUUCUUGAUGAAAGUCUGUAAAAAUUGCACAGUGUAAAGUUGUGUAAAGUAAAAUUUUAAGAAUAAUAAUAUGAGUAUACAUUUAACAAAAAAAAUUUUCUUAAAUUUCUUUCUAAUAUAUUAUGUUAAAGAUAAAACAACAAUUUUAGUAAUUAUGAUUUUAUUAAAUUGUUUAAAUGUUAAUAUUGCAGAGGACAUAAUUAACAGGAUGCAAUUAUAUGAUGAAGUUACACAAAUUCAUUAUAAAAGGUAUGUAAUUGUUUCAACUCAAAUUUAUAAUAUUUGUAUAAAAGAAUUAGGAUGAUAGACUCAUAAAUGUAACUUAUAAUUACCUCGAAAAGCUCAUCUCCUCCAUAGUUUUGUGCACCUUCAAAAAGGGAUCCUAAUACAUACAAUAAAGUCAUCAAUAAAGUUUGUUUUAUGAUUUCUGUAUAAAUUAUGUCAACUGUAUAAGAUUUUUUUAUUAGUAACACUUACAGUGUAUAUUAAUGAAGGAUGACUGUAUUCCUUGAAAAGAACAUCAUCAUCAACAAACUUAACAACUUUGUAGACUUCAUCAUGUUUUGUUAUAUUUGAUUCCUUAAACAUGAGCUUUCUCUCAAUAAUAUCAUCCAACUCACUUGGAUAUGAACAUUCAUCAUCGGAAAUUAAUCCUUCCUUUGAUUCUUUUGCUGAUUUUCCUAUAAGUUGCACAACCUCGCGGUUCCAAAGUAGUAAACUUAUAAGACCAGUUCCAUUCAUUACAUGAACUUGUAGCAUAUACCUGUAAUUCAGUUUUUUAUCUUUAUAAAAUAUUUUAUUUGUUAGAUAAAUAAUUUGAUAUAGGAUUGUAAGAAAUUGUGAACAACUUGUGCUUCUGCAUUACAUUUUGAGCAAAAAUAUGAGUUUUCAUCAGAUUCAACCUUUAUGAGACACUUGUUGCAAGCCAAAUAUAACCAUCCAUGUUCAAGAUCCAAACAUACAAAUUUUGCAGCAAUCCAAUAGGUAGCUUCCUGUUUAUGAAAAACAGUUUUGUUAAUAAUUAUUCUAAUAAAUCGUGUAAAGUUGGUAUGAACUUAAAAAUUUAUUCAACUCACUUCAAUGCAUUGGCUUAGAUCACUGAUAUAUUUAAAAGGUACAAUUCCUUUGAAUAACUCAUCAGUGACAGAAUAACUAUAUUGAGAACUUGUCUGACUAAGUCGUUCAUAGUUAGAAUCGCAUGCUGCAUUUAAUCUGAGUAAAAAAUAUUAUAAUUUAAUUUAUAUAAUAUAUAAGAAAUUUAAUUGAUCAAUGUUUUUUAAAAUAGGUGGUGACAAACCUGGAUUUAAACGCAAUAGAUUGUGGUAGAGAUGGAUUUAUCCAUAGCUUAAUUUGAUACCAACAGCUACGAACAGAAUAAACAUCUGUAGAAAUAAUAUUUUAUAAUUUGAAUAAUAAUAGUUCUUUUUGAUAAAUAUAAUUUUCAGUACAGUUUUAAUUAGUUAUACCUCUAAAUUUUUGAGCCUUCAUUAAUUGAAGAACCACAAUCAAAGGUUCAUCGGUAGGUACAAUCAAAUGAGGUUGAAUUUGAUCCACAAGUUCCCCCAUAAAGUUGUUGAAAGCCUACUCCUCCUGUACAAUAUGUUAUGCAAUUAGUGCGUAAAUGAUGUUUUAUUUUCGAAUGUUUUCUUUUUUUUUGCAAUUUGUACUGUGAAAUGAAAAAGAACUUACUUUUCAUCUUUCAAUACAAUAUUUAUAAAGACACUAUUAUUGUUUUCUUGAUGGCAGGUCUGAACUGAUUCAUAUGUGACAACCUGUCCAACGACAUCUAUAAAUAUAAUAGUUAGUGAACCUGAAAAAACAUAUUCUUAAUAAAUUGUUAAGUGAGUUGAAAGAGUAAUUACCAAAAAGUUCUGUGUCAUUAAUAUUAUGUUGAAUUGUCAGUUGGUCAAAUGGACGUAAAUUAAAUAUAUCCAUAUCAAAUGGCGGAUCAACAAUUUUCUCAACAAAAGUCAUUUUGAUAAAAAUCAACCUGUGUUUGUGUGUAGUAGUCUUAAAUUUUUUUGAAUUUGAUGUAACUACAAAGUAGUUCAUGCGAUAUAACUCGAGUUCUUGUAUCUUGUUUCAGAAAAAUUUUAUAUCGUGCUUACCAAUCGACGCAUGUAUACGAUCACCCUAAAUUAACAAUGAAAAUUAUUAUGAUUGAAUUAAUUCAAAACGUUAAAAAAUCAAUGAAAACAGUAAACUUAAAAGGAAAAGAAAACAAUACAAACCUUUGCAUCUUGUAAAAUCAUAUUCAUUGAUUAGGGUAUUUCAGGUUUGAAUUUAUCCGGCACUUGCCACGGCCGAACAACUCUUACUUUUAAAUAAAUUCCAUUGCAUUGAGUUGCUUGUAAUUUGGGAAAUAUUAUGAAAAUGUAGAGCCAUUUCUGUAUUUGUUAAUUUUUUCCUGUAAGAAGAAUAAAAUCAAUGCACAGAAAGUUGAGAUAUAUUAAAAAGAGGCGUAAAUGAAAAACUGUUUUAAAGUAAUGGGAGUGUUGUGGGAAACUAUCAUGAAAUUGUGUUUAACAGUUACUCAGAUUUGUUUUUUAAAGACAGAUUUUUAUUAUUUUCAAAAAUAAUAAAUGUUGAUUUGUUUAACAGUUACUCAGAUAUGUUUUUUAAAUAUAAUUUUUUAUUAUUUUUAAAAAUAAUAAAUGUUGAUUUGUUUAACAGUUACUAAGAUAUGUUUUUUAAAGUUAAUUUUUUUAUUAUUUUUAAUUUUCAAAAAUAAUAAAUGCUGAUUUUUAAGUAGUAGGAGUGUUCUGGAAACUUCUUUUUCAAAUGAUUAAAAUGUAUUAUUGGUAAUUUGUGGCAGUUUUAAUGUAUUUAAAAAUUGUAAUUUUAAGUUUAAUUUUUAUUAAAAGAAAAAUACUGAUGACAGUUGUGUAGUGGGAAUAUUGUGGGAAACUUGUAUAUAUUAUCGUGACGUUGACAAUUAGUCAGAUUUAAUUUUCAUAGCUGUAAUUUGAAUUUAAAUUUUUAAAUAAAAAUAAUGAAGACAUUUAAGCUAUAUUUAAAUUUGUAAUUUUUAUUUAAUUUUUUUAAAAAAUUAAUGAGGAUUUUUCUUCUGAGGACACCUGUCCUUUUUGUUUCUGUUUUUAUAUAUAGAUAGAUUAGAUUAUUUGGAAAAAAUAUCACUGUCAGCAAUUGAUUGUUAGUUUGUCAUGUGCUUUUACCUUUAUUUUUUAAAAUUUAAUUGUGUAUAUAUUAAUGAGGUGGAUAAUUAAAAUGAGUUUACAUAAUUUAAUUGGCCAAUUAAUUCACGUAAGAAUCGAUUGUAGCCCCGCGCAUGAGGGUUUACAACAGUAGAUGCAAAAAGUGUCAAAAUGACACACUUGAAUACUAGUUGAGGUGUCAAAAACGAACACCAUUUAGUUUAGGUGUCAAAGUAAAAGUUCAUACCAAAUUUAAGUGUAUUUUGUGCCAAAUGUCAAAAUGAAAGUGCGUGUCAAGUUGAGGUGUUUGUCGAUGUAUUUGGCCAAUAACUUAUAUAGCUCAUAUUUUAAUUUUCGAUUGAUGUAUUCCAUACAUAAUAUCAGUUAUGGAUAUAUUUUGAAAGAACAUUUAUUUAUUUUUCAUUCUCCUACUAAACAAUGAUUCAUUGCUGGUCUUAUUAACCAGACAUCUUUCGUCAUGGAUUGCUCGAUUCUUGAACAUAUCAAUUGAGGGGAAUUAUAUUCUAAAAAAUCUAUCAUAUUGAGUUUUCUUUCAUCGCAAUUUUCAGAUUGUAAUAUUCUAUAUACUUUAACAUAGUCCGUUUUGCUAUACUACUUUGUUACAAGUAGUACAGUUAUUAUCAAUGUGUAUUUUUUGUGUUUUAGUAUCAAUAUGAUCUUAGCUUUUGAGAUCAUUCUUAAUUGUUAGUGCGACGGCGAGUUAUUCUAUUCCUCUUUAAGUACACCAUUCAACAGAUUCAUACCACAAAUGCUAUUACUAGAUUAAGGAGAGCUGAAAAUUAGAGAAAGGAAAAAGAUACGCAAAGAUGUAAAAAAUAAAGGGAGAAGGACAAAAAUAUCACUUUGUGUAAAAUAAUGCCACUGAAUUUGAAAUUUCUCUUUUUAGCCUUUUUAAUUUUUUUGGCCUGACAACAAGUCUUUUACCUUUUCGGCUAUUCCUUUUGUUUCUUCUUUUAAAAAAAAAAAAAAAAAAAACUUUUUUAUUGAAUUAUCUUUUAAAACAAAAAUCACUAGUCUUUUUCAUCUUUUUUUUUUUUCUUUUUCGCAACUCUGUUUUUAAAAGAAAAAAAGCUUUUUGUCACUAAUUUGCUUUUUUUUUUCCUCUUUUAUUUCAAAGAACAAUUGAUUUAUUUUUUCAAAAUUCUAUCAAAACAAAAAUUAAUCAUAAAAAUUGGAUUAUUAUUGUAUAAAAGACCAUUUUUUCAAAUACAUAAAUACAUAUUCUAUACAAAUAAUGAUACAACUUAUAUACACAUUUUAACAAUAAUUGUAUAGUUUCUAUACACAUUUUAUACACUACUUAGGUAAAAUAAUAAUUUAGAUACAAACUCUAUACAAUAUUUAUGCAGUUUAUAUACAUCCAAUAGAUAUACAUAUUCUAUACAACAAUGAUACAAAUUCUAUACAGAUCAUAGAUAGAAAAUAUAUUCUAUAUAAUACAGUUUUUAUACACAUCAUAUACAAACCUUAAAUGUAUAUUUUUUAUACAAUUUUUAUACACAUCAUAUACAAACCUUAAAUAUGCAGUUUUUAUACACAUCAUAUACAAACCUUAAAUAUACAAAUUUUAUACAGUUUUUAUACACAUCAUAUACAAACCUUCAUUUCUCUGAAAUCUCCAUAGAUAAUCAAUCCUAUGCAACCUCGAAUCGUAAAACACAUUUUUUUUCAAAAACAAUCCAUUUCCUUCAAAUUUCUUCGCCACAUACCUAUCCACUAUUACUUUAGCUUCAACACAAUAGUCCUUUUCUUCCAUCCCGAUCAACCUCUAGGUUUUGCAUAUUUUUUCUUCUUUCAUUCCUCUAUCUCAUUUUUCAUCCACCCACAUAAUUCACAAACUCAAUUCAAUUUAGAUAACGUAAAUAGAAAAAAAUUAAGAAUUAGAAGAAAAAAAAAGAUGAGUUUUGUUGAGUUCUUAAUAGAAAAUUUUAAAACUAGAAGAAAUUUCUGAUUGGAGAAAGAAGAGAAAGAAGAAUGGCUAUGAAAUUAGAAAAAAUCAUCAAAAUCAUCGUCAUUAACAAUGAAAUUAGGAUCAAAGGUAACACCUUUAGCAGCCAAUUUUGAAUCCAUAUAUGCCUUUUUUCCUCUUUUGAUCCCAACGCUUCUUGAUGUUUAACUUACACUUGGAAAAUCUUUUGUUUUCAACUGUCAAAAAUAUACGCUGAUAACAUUAGUACUAUUUGCUUGUUAGGUGCAUUAAUAUUGAUUGUGUAAGGAACGUUGAAGACCAAUGAAAAUAAUGAUAAAAGGCACGAUAUUGGAAAAUAAAUCUUUAUAGAAAAAUUAACUUUUAAAACCUCCUGUGUCAAUGUUGUACAGUUCCUGUAAGAGAAACAAUUAAACAUCUUUUUUCAACAGGUGAAGUGGCAGUCUUUAUUCGGGAGUACUAUGCUAGGGCUGCUGGUUUAUUAGGUCCUUGGGUCCAGGUUAAGCAAACAAUGAAGAAAUGGUGGGAUACUCAAGGUAAUCUCAGAUUGAAAUCGGUUUAUCAAGCAAUUCCUAGUAUUAUUAUCUGGUUUCUUUGGAAGAGGAGAAAUACAGUCCUUCAUGGAGGUUCUUAUUUCAGAAAUAAGGUUAUAUGGGAUAUUAAUGCUACCAUCCAUAACUUUAUUACGACAAAGUUCCUUACACAACUUGUCCUAAUACUUGGCCUCAAACGGUGGCAUUUCCGGAAAAUUUCAGACCCAUUUUUGACAGCAAAGUGGUUAGAUGGAGACCUCCCCCUAGUGGUUGGUUAGAAUGUUAUACUGAUGGUACAUCUAGAGGAAAUCCAGGUCCAAGUGCUGCAGCUUUUUGCUUAAGAAAUUGUGAAGGGAUUCUAAUAGGAGCUAAGGGUUUUCAAAUUGCUGAUACUACUAAUCUGGUGGCUGAAGCUAGAGCUAUAAGAGAAGGUCUUCAAUACCGUCGAGAUAAGCAUCUUUCUAACAUAAUUUUGGAAACUGACUCUUUGGCCAUGGUUAACAUCAUUAAGGUGUGUGGGAAAUUCAUUGGAGUGUUUCAAUGGAGGUCAAUACUAUUAGAAGGAUCACAAGUGUUAUUACAGUAAAAGCACAACACUCCCUAAGGGAGGAAAAUACUUUUGCUGAUUUUUUUGCUAACCUAGUUUUUAGUUUUGCAAGUUCAUUUGAAUUCAAUUCAUUUCAUGAAGUUCCAAGUGCUGGGAAGAGAAUUAUUAAUCUUGAUAGAUGUAACACUCCUAUCGUCAGAAUCAGACAGGUUACCUCACCGUUCAAGUGAAAUUAAGAGUUACAAAUCUCAAUUAAGGAGUUACUAAAGAGCAAUCCUACAGUAUAAUUAACUGAUUUACACAUGACGUAUUUAGUGAUUUAUCUAUUUGAUAUUAAAUUAAGUCUGAAGUAAUUUCAUAUGGUUGACAGUACCUACACCUGGUGAGAGCAUUUGAGGUGUUCAUGAGGUACUAAACCAGGACUUAAUUAUUCAAACAAUUGGUCACUUAAACCAAGCUUGUCCAUUUUCAGAUAUAAGUUUAGUUAAACACAACCUUUCGAAAAGGUUUCAGUUGAGUAUUUACGUUUUUAAUGGUGGUAUCAAUCCCUUUUGGGGUUCAACCCAUUGAAGAAUAGAUAUGGAUAUUGAAAAUUUCGAAUAAGUUUCAGUGUUGUACCUGGCCUUGAAAGAGUGAGUGAUAUACAUUGUACACAGAUACUCCAGAAGUGGUUGAUUUGACUGGUAAAUUUUCCCUACUGUCUCUGAAGCACCAAAAUUGUUAGCAGAAUUGGUGAUAUCGUCCUUUGGUCUACAUCUCCAAUGGUGGUAUAAAUCUUAUUUGAGAUACAACCCAUCCAAUAGACAACGGAAAGAUAUACAAUUAAAAAGUCAUAAAAGGGUUACCUUGGUCCUUGCAAUCGACCUCAAGUUCGCUGCCAUCGUCGUCAAGGUGACCGGAGUUCAUGCAGUGACCAUUCAGAUGCUUCAGCCAUUUUCCAUUUUGGACUUUUCUUUGAUUAAUUAUCUUAUCAUUUGUCAUUUGUGUGUUUUUUUUUUUUUGGGGGGAAAUGACAGAAACUUGCACUUCAAAUUAAACUAUUUCCUUGAAAAUGAUCAUGGAAUUUAAAUUUCACUUUCUAAUUAUUUUAAUUUACUAAUUGGUUUUAUACCCUUUUUACACAACUUUUAUACAGGUUUUAUACAAAUCUUAUACAUAAAUAUUCUAUACGGAAAUUAUACAGUUUUGAUACAUAAUUUAUAUAAUAACUGUACAUCUGCACUUCAAAUUAAACUAUUUCCUUGAAAAUGGCCAUGGAAUUUAAAUUCAACUUUCUAGCCAUUUUAAUUUACUGACUGUUCUUUAUCGUUUUCACACAACUUUUAUACAAGUUUUAUACAAAUCUUAUACAUAAAUAUUCUAUAUGAAAAUUAUACAGUUUUGAUACAUAAUUUAUAUAAUAACUGUACUUUUUUACACGUUUUAUACAACAAUUGUAUAAUUUGUAUACACUUUCUAUAUAUUGUAUAUAUACAUAUUUGAUAGAAUUAUACAAUUUCUAUACAUAUAUCUUAUAUAGAUUCAUAUUCUAUUUAAUAAUUAUAUCGUUUUUAUAUAAUUUAAUUAUUAUUUCUAAAGAAUAAAAAAAAGCAGAAUAUUUGAUCAAUUUAAAAAUUUAUAGUAAAAAAAAAUUAAAAUAUUUUUAAAGGGCCGAAUUGCCCAAGUUGAAUAUUGUAUUAGUAUUGUAUAUAGAUUGUAUCAGUAUCAUAUAUGGACUGUAUAUAGACUACGUGGAUCAAAAUGAUCCAAAUUGGAAAAGAUUAAGAAAUGAUCAUAAAAUGACAUUUGUUUAGCCGACUGAACAUUAUUUAUCCAAAUGCCAAACUUGGACUAUUAUUUUUUAAAAAGGUCCUAGAGUGUCUUUUUUUUUUUUUUUAAUUGUUUUACUUGGAGGAGCUGGACCAGGACACUUUUGGGCCUGGUCGGUGUACUUUUUAUUACUUUUAUAAUAUAGGCUAUGUGCCCAAUUUUAAUUAAAAAAAAAAUAUGUGUUUGACAAUGAGAAUUUCAAAUACAAUUUGGACUUGUAUUUGGAAAAGUAAAAACAAGUAAAACUUAUUUUCACUUUUUUGACUCUUACUUUUCUCACAAAAUUUCAAAAAUAUCUCUAAUUUAUAUUUAUAGUUAAACACAAUUCCAACUGCCUUAGUAUUUAGGACUUCUGCAAUGUCCAUAUUUAAUAAUUAAUAAUAGUUUUGAAAGCUUAUUAACUGAUGUGAGAAACACAUGCAAAGUAGGUAUACUAAACUAGUUUUAAACAAGACUUUAUAUUAGUAGCCUCACAUUUGAGUCACCUCUCUUUUCACGCAGCCCAUAAGUCUACCUUUCUGGUCAAACACCUCCUUCCUUAUGGCUUGUGAAUGCUCUGUUUCCUUCCCCACCGUUCGCUAUGCUCUUUUUCCAUCUGCCUUCUUUUUCUUCAACUACGUAAUGAAGUAACGAUUGUUGGUGUUGUCACAUACACUCAAAAAUAUGUCAAGGCUCCUUGUCCUCGUAAAGGAAAUGGGAAGAAAUUUGAUGAUGAUGAACGGCCAUUGUGGUUAAUGAAGCUUAUAAGUAGAGAUUGAAAAGAAUAUAUAAUAUUACUCAUUAGGAACCCUAAAACCCUAGCCCUAGCGAUCGUGUGGAAAAUUGAACAACUUUAGAGUGUGUUUGGUACGAUGAAAAAUAUUUUUCAUGAAAAAUGUUUACCUGGAAAAUAAGUUGAUUUUCUACUUAUUUUCUUGUGGUUGGUGAGUGAAAAAUAUUUUAUAGUUUUUGAUUGGUGAAUAGAAAAUAUUUUUCAGAAAUAUAUUUUCUAGUGUUUGGUUGGUGAGUGAAAAAAUAUUUUUUAAAAAAUACUACUAACUGUUAACUAGUAUAUCAUUGCUUGAACUAAUUUAAGCAUAACAAAUAACAUCAAUAUCGAGUAUUAAGAUAUUACAAGUCACUAAAUUUUAAACAACUACUAAUUAGCAAGCAUAUGAGACAUUUUUCAACAUUUUGUCUAGACAAUCUCAAGAUACUACAAUCAAUAGAAAUAUAAUUGAACGACAAGCUUAUUCAACCUUGUAAAACAAGUUACAACGAUGAUAAAAUGGAAUAUGUAAUUAACAAAAGUAACAUAGGUAAGUCUUCCUCUAUGCACAUGGAAAAAUUCGGAUUUCACUAUUUUUUAUUUUAAGCAGUGAAACAUUGAAGCUAAAGCACAGUGAAAAAUGUUUCUGAGUAAUGUGAAUUUAAGUGUUGUUGGGGUUGGGGAUGGGAGCAUAAAAGUUACAUCUGUCAUUUUCCCUCAAAUAAAGAAAAAUGAGUCAUUUUGAAAAAUAUUUUUCCAAUAUUUUAUUACAACUAAAUAAAAAAAAAUAAGAAAAUAUUUUCCAUCAUAUCAAACACGCCCUUAAAGUGAAAAAGUGAUGAGAUGUUCAAAUUUAAAGGGUUACUAAUAUUAUAUUGUACACGUCUUGUAAACCUUAUUUUAAUAAAAUUAAAUUCUUAUUUUUACUAUCGUUGAAAAGUUCUUAUAAAUAUUCAUAGUGAUAACGUAUUAUAAAAUUAUCUAAGUAACAAAGAAUAAGGAAUGAAGUAAUAGGGUACUGUAUUCACCUCUUUGUUUCUUUAAGAAACCAAGGGAGUAACUAAUAGUCAAAGUACAACCUUAUCUACAUUAGUGGAUAAUGAUUUGGACACAUAGCAUCCAAUUUCAUAACAACUACUACAUAUUGUCCAGCCUAAAUCUAAAAAAAGCUGAACCAAUAGCAAAAAUCCCCAAAUCUAGAGCUCCUUAUAGUUCCAACAAUGGCAGAGAAAAUCACCAGUCUCAAAAGCACAAGGUAUACGUACGUACAAAUAUAAUUCCGUAAUUGUUUUUUCUAUCUAUUUUCUUCGAUGAAGUUCUAGGCAAGUACUAUGUGAUUUGAUUAAAAUGAUGAUUAACUGAUUUACUAUAACAGAUCAAAAAUUAGGUCAAUAUUGUAAAAAGAAAAAAAAACUAUAGUAUCAGUACAUAAUUCUUUUUUUGGGUAUAUGACUAUAUUGUAUGACCAGGUAUGCAGUGGUGAGUGGGGGAAACAAAGGGAUAGGAUAUGAAACAUGCAGACAAUUAGCAAGCAAAGGUGUAGUGGUUGUGUUGACAUCAAGAGAUGAAAAGAAAGGCAUUGAAGCUAUUGAAAGGCUCAAAGAGGAGUCAAACUUUACUGAUGAACAGAUUUUGUUUCAUCAACUUGAUGUUAUGGAUCCAACUAGUAUUUCUUCUCUUGUGAACUUCAUCAAAACCAAAUUUGGAAGGCUUGAUAUUUUGGUAAGUACUGUUUAUCACUCCAUCCAAUCUGUUCCUUUUUCGCUUGAAGAUUUCGGCAGAACUCAAUAACAUGAAUAAAUUUAUAUUUUUCAUUUAUGUUGAAUAAUUUCACAUACAUAAAUAAUCCAGAAAUUUAAAGUAAUAAGAAUAAAUUAAAAUCCGUAACUUCAAUUAUGAAAAUGACAGUUUUUUUUUUUAAACACAGUAUAUAAUUGUCAAUUCGAUCGAUCCCAUAUAUUAGUCUCUUUGUUUUCUUUUAAACAACUCAGUAAUUAUAAUUUUACUGAUGAUAUAUUAAUAAUCAUAACAUUAAAAUACAUAUUUAAACUGAGAUAGUACAUAGAGGAGUACUUAUAUAUCUCUCUAUAUAAAAACAAAACUAAAACAAGACAAGAUGUCAAGGGUCAACAUAUUAAAAUAGUCACGUGGUAGUUUUUAGGAUAAAAUUAAAAAAUAUUUUAAAGCAAAUUUAAAAAUAUUAUAAUAAAAAUUUUGAAUUGAAAGAUAAAGUAUUUGAAUUUGAAAUAUAUUAUCUUAAUAACUACAAACUCAUAAUUGAAGAGUUCUAACAGACUAUUACUAUUUUAAAUUUAUCUUUUUUUAUAAUUUAAAUAUUAUAUAUAUAUAUAUUGUUGGGUUCAUAGUAGAUGAAAGAAGUGUGAAUGAAAAAAUUCUAUACUAUCUUAUUAUUUUAGAUACAAUUUCUCAUAUUGUUUGGAGAAAUAAGAAAUUGCGAAUUAAUUUUUUGCAGGUUAACAACGCAGGAAUUUCUGGAGUUAUGGUAGAAGGAGAUGUACUAAAAGAGAUAAUAGAAAGACAUAUCUCAAUCACUUUUACUGAAAAUGAAAAUGGAGUAAGAUAUAUAACCAAUUCUUGUAUGUUGUCAAUAAAAAGAAAUAUGGAGGCGAUCUCUUUGUCAAUAAUUUAAUUUCUACAUAUAUGCAUUUCAAAGAAUUAAAUACAAUAGCAACAAUUUUUAUUACUAUUAAAUAAUUAUGCAGGAAGAGGGAGGUAGGACGAAAUCAUAUCCUGGCAUUGUUACAAAUUAUGAGUUGACAAAACAAUGCCUAGAGACAAACUAUUAUGGUGCAAAAAGGAUGACUGAAGCAUUUAUCCCCCUCCUUCAACUCUCUAAUUCACCAAGGAUUGUUAACGUCGCUUCUAUCUUGGGAAAGUUAAAAGGUAAAUAUACUUUCUGUUUUGUCGAGCUCUACAUACAUUCAAUUUGAUCGUUAAAGGUUAGUAAUCUUUGUUUUAACCAACUUAUAUACUAGUAUGUGAAUUCUUGUAAUCUGAUCAAUUCUUGUGCAGCUAUUGUGCAACAAAUGGGCAAUAGAAGUGCUAAGUGAUGCUAAUACACUGACAGAAGAAAAGGUAGAUCAAGUGGUGGAUGAAUUUCUCAAAGAUUUCACAGAGAAAUCAACAGAAUCCAAAGGAUGGCCAAGUUACCUCACAGCUUACAAAGUCUCAAAAGCAUCUUUGAUUGCCUACACAAGAGUUUUAGCUACCAAAUAUCCGAAUUUUCGAAUAAACUCUGUAUGUCCUGGCUAUUGCAAAACGGACGUGAACGUCAAUACUGGAUACUUAACUGCUGGAGA
RNAcentral lists this long non-coding RNA (36267 nucleotides) under Capsicum annuum. RNAcentral describes it as "long non-coding RNA (CANN_LNC012925)". The record is from RNAcentral. Lineage: Eukaryota; Viridiplantae; Streptophyta; Magnoliopsida; Solanales; Solanaceae.